ACAGUAUUUUUCUUUUACUGUAAAUCCAAAUACAAAAAAAAAAAAAGAGCGCGAAAUCUGACCAAUGACAGAAAGGCUUUCUUUCCUCUGGGAGAGAAGAAAAGGAAGACGCACACACAAGAACCUCGCAGCUGCCAUCAAACGAAGUUUUACCGUCAAAGUGUGAACAUAAACAGGUCUCUGUCUUGGUUUUGACCACGUUGCUAGCAGAUGCAGCGCGGAAGGCUGUACAUUCGUGUCGACUAAAUUCUUCAGCAUUUGUGAACACUGGACACCUAAGAUGGCACAUUCGAGAUGAAGCAGAGGAUUUGCUGUUCCUUUUGGCCAGUGUCACAACAACAGCAGCAGAUGCAAAGACCAGGCUUUCACUUCCUUCUACUCUGAUCAU
Molecule: long non-coding RNA, 388 nt
Organism: Labeo rohita (rohu)
Lineage: Eukaryota; Metazoa; Chordata; Actinopteri; Cypriniformes; Cyprinidae
Exons: 5
Source: RefSeq, a predicted model, not a curated record